RNAcentral lists this ribosomal RNA (305 nucleotides) under uncultured bacterium. RNAcentral's name for it is "bacterial SSU rRNA". It matches the Rfam family "Bacterial small subunit ribosomal RNA", at positions 336 to 639 of the family's 1533-position model. The record is from RNAcentral.
UUCCUACGGGGCGCAGCAGUGAGGAAUAUUGGUCAAUGGGCGCGAGCCUGAACCAGCCAAGUCGCGUGAGGGAAGACGGUCCUAUGGAUUGUAAACCUCUUUUGUCGGGGAGCAAAAGACGCCACGCGUGGCGUUCCGAGAGUACCCGAAGAAAAAGCAUCGGCUAACUCCGUGCCAGCAGCCGCGGUAAUACGGAGGAUGCGAGCGUUAUCCGGAUUCAUUGGGUUUAAAGGGUGCGCAGGCGGGCCUUUAAGCCGGCGGUGAAAUUGCGGGGCUCAAACCCCCCGAGCCGUCGGAACUGGGGG